Molecule: non-coding RNA, 647 nt
Organism: Eubalaena glacialis (North Atlantic right whale)
Lineage: Eukaryota; Metazoa; Chordata; Mammalia; Artiodactyla; Balaenidae
Source: the annotation of a RefSeq genome assembly
UAGAAGUUGUCCUCACAUAUUUAGCUCCCUCAUAUAUCCUUCUUUCUCCUCCACCUAGUACUGAAGUGCUCAGUUGAACCUUGAAGGGAAGCCCAUUCUGAGGAGCCGUCACCCUGCUAUUGGCUUGCUUCUGGGGACAGCCCUAGGUGAGAGCUGCUAGUGUGAGCUGUGGCAGGUGCUGCUGUGCCUCGUCCCUGGUUCAUAUCCCUGGUCCAGGCUCAGACUCAGCAACAGAGCCUGACCCUGGGUCCUGGUUUACACUAGAAUAUGAGGCAUUUGACAAGACUGACUGUGCUCCUGAUCUUGGGUACUUUGAGUCUUGCUAAGACCAUCCAGCCCAUCUUCAUUGACUCAUAUGAAGGACAAGAAGUGAACAUAUCCUGUAACCACACCAACAUUGCUACAGAUGACUAUAUCUUCUGGUACCGACAGUUCCCCAACCAGGGACCACAAUUUGUCAUUCAAGGAUAUAAGACAAACAUAGCAAAUGAAGUGGCAUCUCUGUUUAUCCCUACUGAGAGGAAGUCCAGCACCCUGAGCCUGCCCUGCGCUGCCCUGAAAGACGCUGCUGUGUAUUACUGCAUCGGGUGAGAGGGAUGAAAGUGGAGCAGAGCCCUUCAGCCCUGAGCCUCCAGGAAGGAACCAGC